Molecule: non-coding RNA, 126 nt
Organism: Peptococcaceae bacterium BRH_c23
Lineage: Bacteria; Bacillati; Bacillota; Clostridia; Eubacteriales; Peptococcaceae
Source: Rfam
GAAGUGACCUGCCCGGUAGUCAACAGCCGGAAGCGAGUCUUGCAUGUUAGGAAGCAUUUCUAGUGUGAAGCGUAGACAGCAAGUACAAAAGCUGUGUGAUUGAGCCUCGAUCGCAGCCCAUAAACC